UUGGAGGGCAAGUCUGGUGCCAGCAGCCGCGGUAAUUCCAGCUCCAAUAGCGUAUAUUAAAGUUGUUGCAGUUAAAAAGCUCGUAGUUGAAUUUCGGGGUCAGUAGGUUGGUCAUGCCACUGGUAUGUACUGGUCUCACUGAUUCCUCCUUCCUGAUGAGCUGUAAUGCCAUUAAUUUGGUGUUGCGGGGAAUCCGGACUGUUACUUUGAAAAAAUUAGAGUGUUUAAAGCAGGCUAACGCCUGAAUACAUUAGCAUGGAAUAAUGAAAUAGGACGUUCGAUCCUAUUUUGUUGGUUUCUAGGAUUGACGUAAUGAUUAAUAGGGAUAGUUGGGGGCAUUAGUAUUCAAUUGUCAGAGGUGAAAUUCUUGGAUUUAUUGAAGACUAACUACUGCGAAAGCAUUUGCCAAGGAUGUUUUCAUUAAUCAAGAACGAAAGUUAGGGGAUCGAAGACGAUCAGAUACCGUCGUAGUCUUAACCAUAAACUAUGCCGACUAGGGAUCGGAUGAUGUUAAUUUUUUAAUGACUCAUUCGGCGCCUUACGGGAAAC
RNAcentral lists this ribosomal RNA (549 nucleotides) under uncultured Glomeraceae. Its description in RNAcentral is "SSU rRNA". It matches the Rfam family "Eukaryotic small subunit ribosomal RNA", at positions 548 to 1098 of the family's 1831-position model. Lineage: Eukaryota; Fungi; Glomeromycota; Glomeromycetes; Glomerales; Glomeraceae. The record is from RNAcentral.